AAUAUUGCACAAUGGGCGCAAGCCUGAUGCAGCAACGCCGCGUGGGUGAAGAAGGCUCUUGGGUCGUAAAGCCCUUUCGGCAGAGAAGAAGGGUGUAGAUUCGAAUAGGGUUUACAUUUGACGGUAUCUGCAUAAGAAGCACCGGCUAAUUUCGUGCCAGCAGCCGCGGUAAUACGAAAGGUGCAAGCGUUGUUCGGAAUAACUGGGCGUAAAGCGCUCGUAGGCGGGAAUUCAGGUCGAUUGUGAAAGCCCAGAGCUCAACUUUGGAAUUGCAGUCGAAACCGAAUUUCUUGAAUACUCGAGAGGGUGGGGGAAUUCCUAGUGGAGAAGUGAAAUUCGUAGAGAUUAGGAGGAACACCAGAGGCGAAGGCGCCUACCUGGCGAUGUAUUGACGCUGAGGAGCGAAAGUGUGGGGAGCAAACAGGAUUAGAUACCCUGGUAGUCCACACCGUA
Molecule: ribosomal RNA, 453 nt
Filed under: uncultured marine bacterium
Lineage: Bacteria
Description: bacterial SSU rRNA
Rfam family: Bacterial small subunit ribosomal RNA
Source: RNAcentral